RNAcentral lists this ribosomal RNA (497 nucleotides) under uncultured bacterium. Its description in RNAcentral is "partial 16S ribosomal RNA". It matches the Rfam family "Bacterial small subunit ribosomal RNA", at positions 28 to 507 of the family's 1533-position model. The record is from RNAcentral.
GAUGAACGCUGGCGGCGUGCCUAAUACAUGCAAGUCGAGCGAACGGACGAGAAGCUUGCUUCUCUGAUGUUAGCGGCGGACGGGUGAGUAACACGUGGAUAACCAACCUAUAAGACUGGGAUAACUUCGGGAAACCGGAGCUAAUACCGGAUAAUAUUUUGAACCGCAUGGUUCAAAAGUGAAAGACGGUCUUGCUGUCACUUAUAGAUGGAUCCGCGCUGCAUUAGCUAGUUGGUAAGGUAACGGCUUACCAAGGCAACGAUGCAUAGCCGACCUGAGAGGGUGAUCGGCCACACUGGAACUGAGGCACGGUCCAGACUCCUACGGGAGGCAGCAGUAGGGAAUCUUCCGCAAUGGGCGAAAGCCUGACGGAGCAACGCCGCGUGAGUGAUGAAGGUCUUCGGAUCGUAAAACUCUGUUAUUAGGGAAGAACAUAUGUGUAAGUAACUGUGCACAUCUUGACGGUACCUAAUCAGAAAGCCACGGCUAACUACGUG